UUUUUUUUUUUUGCAUAUGCAGACCAUGAGUUCAUCAGUAGUAAGGAUUUCAGAGUUAUGCUUUUGCCCAAUGAAGAUAGGUAUGAAAUAUAAUCUUUUCUGCCUUUACUUAUCAUUCACCAAGGAGCUGUUCCCCUCUCCAUCUAGGCAUCUUAAAAAGUUCCAUUAUUUGAAAACUUAACUUCAAUAUUUGGCCUAGUCAAGCUCUUCUGAAGUUCUCCUGAGAUGACUGAAUAUGAACCAAAGCUGCACUGUGCUGUAUAUUUCAGCUUCACUGGGAAUACUCCAAGGAAAAAAGCAGCUCCAAUCCCUGAAGGUGUUUGGUGCCAACAGCAUAGCAGUACAAUCCUUCUCUAACUCAGUUUGUCAAUAGUACUAUAGCAUCUGUGGAAAGUCUUAGAAAAAAACAUUUUCUCCCCCACCCUCUUCCCUGUUAAGACCACCCCAAAAUACUUCAAGUAAAAAUAACCGGUUACAUACUUUAAUUACAAAAAAAAAUCUGAUUAAGGGGUGGAAAAAGUACCAGCCAUUUCUCCACUGGAGUUCCAUCACAGACCUUAAGUGAGAGCUGCUCGUGUUCUAGUUUCUACAAACUGUAAACCUGUGGUGUUCUGAUUAUCCUGAUACUGGAUUUUCUUUUUUCCUGUUACCUUGAGUCAUUUGCCUUUGGAAUUCUAGACAGACCUAAGGGGAAAAGAACUCAAAACAUAUUUUGCCCCCCCAAAACCUUUACCCCCCCGAAUUACACACCCAACUAUAUAUAUAUAGGUAACUUAGAAUAGAGAAUGAGAAAGAAAAUUAAGUCAUCUACUCACAAAACGGAAAUGCUUCAUUACCAAGCUAAAUAUAAAACCUGCUUACAAAGCUGGCUGAAACUGUCUCAAGGUUGUUCUAUCAAAUUCAUUUGUUUUCCCUCAUAUUGGUUAAAAACGAAAACACUUGCCAUCUACUAUUCCUCCGGGCCUUGGUAGUCUGCCCUCAAAAGCUUCAGACAAGAUGAGAAAAUACGCCUGAAAAAGAGAAACCUACAACACCCGAAAAUCGGCCUACAUCCCCAUAAAACCCUUUAUGCUUAAGUACACAGCUCCCCCAUCACCAUUAGGAAAUACAACAAAGAUUACCGUACUGUUACCAAAAAAAGGUGAAGAAACAAAGCAGAACCCACGAUACUGCCGACCUCACGGAUUUUUACCACACCACUGGCUCUCCCUGCCGGCCUUGCACACUGGGCUGCCGCUCUAGGACGCUCUAUCUAGCCUCCACACCGCCUGCUCGCCUCCUCCGCGGGGUUGCCAAGCCACGCCGCCAAGCCGCACGCUAGCUUCAUCACCACAUCGCACUGGCUUCCUCCUUCCUGGAAUCCUCUCCUAGCUUCACCUCCAACCGUUAGGGCUCCUUCCUUCUUCCUAGCUUCCUUCACCAAAUCGCACUGGCUCCCGGGCUCCUCCUUCCUAUCUUCACGAACUGCCGCUCGCUCCUCAGUCCUAGUUUCACCAAAAACUGGCUCCUGGAAUCCUGUCUGCUGCUGUCUUCCUAGGUUCUCUGAAUCCACUUCUGUGUAGCACCUGGUCAGCUGUUAAUUAGCGCCUAGUCCUCAGGGUUUAGAAAUUCAUCUUAGCUCAAAGUCCAAUGCAAAAAAUGUUAACUUGGUUAUCCUCGCUCUUGAAUUUAUCGUCCUUUAAGUUUUCCAGAAGAAACUAAACUACUGUAUGGAUUUAAGGCCUUUCAAAUUUUUAACUCUUCCGUCUACCUUAAUUUUUACAUCAGUCUUUUUAGUAGCUUUUUGCUGUGAUUUUAAAUUUACUUCCCUCUACAGCUUCGAGAUAUUCUUCUAAGUUGGUCUUGGUCUACUGUAGUUUAAAACCCUCUUCUCAGAUCUAACUUCUGCACCACCACAAAUUAAAGUUGAUGGGCUUUUUAAAUAAAUUGAACUAUUAAAAACUAUUUUUCUUAGUUUUGCGUCUUGUACUUAUCCAAUUUUUUGGCUUCGGACUUUUCUAUCUUCCAAUUACUUGGACCUCUAUCUUGUAUGCUUGUCUCCAACAGCUUGUUUCUCAUUUUCUACCUCAAACACUCGAACAUCUUUUCAACCUUCUCUUUCUAGAUGUCUUCUGCCUCCUACCUUCUGGGCUUAGUUUUUUUCUGUCUUCUAAAAGCCGUAUUUUUUAUCUUCUAGUUUUCCUAUCUUCACUAAUCUUUUCUUCACCUUCCUGUACUUGUCUUCCGAGUUUUCCACUUCAAAUUUCUAAUCUUCUUUCUCCACUAAUACUUCCAUCAACUUCCAAAGAAAGCCUUAAGGCUUCAAAUGACGCAGUUUUGAUCGCGCCGUGAAUUUGAAGGCAUUUCUUAAAUCACCUUCAACUGACCUUUAAAGAUGGCUUUUAGAACAUUUUAAUCCAUCUACGACUGGACUUUAAAAGUAUUGUUUAGGUUCUAUUUAUAGCAUUACGUUUGAACAAUAAUCUAAAAAGCUGCCCUUCAAUUUAAGACUUUAAAAUUCCAUACUUUGCAGUCCUGUCUCGGCAACUCCUUUUAAAAUUAGCUUUCUCACUCCAUGAAGAAGCUUCAGCUCUUAACCUCCGUCAUGUUCUAAUAUUAUCUUUUUUCUUCUUUCUUCCUUUCUCAUACUAUUUUUUAAGGACGUCUCCAUUUUCCCCUAAAAUAAGACCUUCUUAUUAAUUAUCAAAUCUACUCUCACGAAUUUAACUCAAAACUACAGCUCAGUAUUUUCGCUAAUUUAUAAUUCCUAGAGAAUAAGAGUAAUCCCUAUCUUAACAGAAAAACUUAUCUGCGGUCUCCUCAAGAAGCGUUUCCUGCCUCUCAGCCGU
This 2828-nucleotide long non-coding RNA is filed under the name Sus scrofa (pig). RNAcentral describes it as "lncRNA (ENSSSCG00050015652.1)". The record is from RNAcentral. Lineage: Eukaryota; Metazoa; Chordata; Mammalia; Artiodactyla; Suidae.